UUACCCACUCCCGGCACGGGGAGGUAGUGACGAAAAAUAACAAUACGGGACUCUUUUGAGACCCCGUAAUUGGAAUGAGUACACUCUAAAUCCUUUAACGAGGAUCUAUUGGAGGGCAAGUCUGGUGCCAGCAGCCGCGGUAAUUCCAGCUCCAAUAGCGUAUAUUAAAGUUGUUGCGGUUAAAAAGCUCGUAGUUGGAUCUCAGUUCCAGACGGGCGGUCCGCCUAACGGUGGUUACUGCCUGGCCUGAACAGCCAGCCGGUUUCCCUAGAUGAUCUUCACCGGUUGUCUUGGGUGACCGGCACGUUUACUUUGAAAAAAUUAGAGUGCUCAAAGCAGGCGUGUAGCCUGAAUAAUGGUGCAUGGAAUAAUGGAAUAGGACUUCGUUUCUAUUUUGUUGGUUUUCGGAACACGAGGUAAUGAUUAAGAGGGACAGACGGGGGCAUUCGUAUUGCGACGCUAGAGGUGAAAUUCUUGGACC
This 481-nucleotide ribosomal RNA is filed under the name Macrothelidae gen. 2 sp. 2 ZZY-2021a. RNAcentral's name for it is "SSU rRNA". It matches the Rfam family "Eukaryotic small subunit ribosomal RNA", at positions 441 to 926 of the family's 1831-position model. Lineage: Eukaryota; Metazoa; Arthropoda; Arachnida; Araneae; Macrothelidae. The record is from RNAcentral.